GGAACAAACCAGUGAGCAGCACCCUUCCAUGGCCUCCUCAUCAGCUCCUGCCUCCAGGUUCCUGCCCUGUAGAUAAAAUAAGCCCAACUGCAGCAGAAACCUUUCAUGACGUUGAACCUGUGAUGUGUGGGAUCCAGUUAACCCCACAGUUGCCUUCAGGCCUCCUUCCUGUUGUCCUGAAUCUUCAGCAGCCACACUUGCCUUGGCCCCAACUGUCCCUGCCUAUCCUUCCUUGGAACCCUGUAAGUUUCCACACCUUUCAUGUUGUGCACUACUAAGUAAUUCACUAUAAACUUGGUUAAACACAAUCAACAAAACCCAAACCAUAGCCUGAACGCUGGGCCACCCUCUAUGCUGCUUUGCCAGAUUAAUCAUUCCACUACCUUUCAACUCAAAGGCUCCAACCAUUCCAAGACACCAGCAAAAUGUAGACAAAUUCUUUUCCAGAAUCUAACACUAAUGGCCUCUAAAUACAAUUCUUAAUCAAGUUUUCAUUUCUAUCUGAAACCUCACAAACAUAGACAUUGCAUUUUGGUCUUCUUAACUCCCACCAUAAUAAACCAUGAAAUUGAGUGUA
Molecule: long non-coding RNA, 577 nt
Filed under: Mus musculus (house mouse)
Lineage: Eukaryota; Metazoa; Chordata; Mammalia; Rodentia; Muridae
Description: predicted gene, 57318
Source: RNAcentral